RNAcentral lists this ribosomal RNA (497 nucleotides) under uncultured bacterium. RNAcentral describes it as "partial 16S ribosomal RNA". It matches the Rfam family "Bacterial small subunit ribosomal RNA", at positions 28 to 507 of the family's 1533-position model. The record is from RNAcentral.
GAUGAACGCUGGCGGCGUGCCUAAUACAUGCAAGUCGAGCGAACGGACGAGAAGCUUGCUUCUCUGAUGUUAGCGGCGGACGGGUGAGUAACACGUGGAUAACCUACCUAUAAGACUGGGAUAACUUCGGGAAACCGGAGCUAAUACCGGAUGAUAUUUUGAACCGCAUGGUUCAAAAGUGAAAGACGGUCUUGCUGUCACUUAUAGAUGGAUCCGCGCUGCAUUAGCUAGUUGGUAAGGUAACGGCUUACCAAGGCAACGAUGCAUAACCGACCUGAGAGGGUGAUCGGCCACACGGGAACUGGGACACGGUCCAGGCUCCUACGGGAGGCAACAGUAGGGAAUCUGCCGCAAUGGUCGAAAGCCUGACGGAGCAACGCCGCGUGAGUGAUGGAGGGCUUGGGAGCGUAAAACUCUGUUAUUAGGGAAGAACAUAUGUGUAAGUAACUGUGCACAUCUUGACGGUACCUAAUCAGAAAGCCACGGCUAACUACGUG